AUUUAAAGCGGUUCGCAAAGCCGGAGCAGCAGCAGCGUCAACUGAAGUUUGAGGAGGACUUGGAGUUUCCAGAAAACUGAGGAUCAUCCCAAAACUUGGCCAGAAUCGGGAAGAGGAAUUUCGGGAAAACCGCAACACCGGCUUGAAAACUCAAUUUGGAAAGUUUUUUUUUCCUCGAGGACGAAGAACCGUUGAGAGCAACAGUUGGUCUGAUAGCGAUACAGGAAGCAACAGGCUGACGACGACGACGACGACGCCGAUGGAGCGAACUGCUAACGGAUAAUCAACUCUCUUCGUUGAUGAUAAAAAAGAAAGUUCUUUCAGACUGGCAGCUGUGACUAUGUGAGUGUGUGAAUGUUGAGCUGCGAAGUGAGUUGUUGAGUGAUAUGUGGUGGCUUAGUUGAACAAAAGUGGUUAGUGUGCGCAAUCGAAUUUAGGCUGGAAGGUGGAAACUAUGAAGUCAUCAAAUGUUGAUCUCCUCAACCAAGAUGAAGUCAUUACCGCCUGACCACUGGUAGUCCUAAACCCACACUAAAUGCAACGAUUAUUAUGCAGUGGAAAAUGUAACUUCACCUCACCUCAGAAGAUAAAUCGUAGUUUUUUUGCUGGAAAACUAAGGUAAGACAUAGAGUGUGUAAGGUUUACACCCUUGACUGAGCAUAUUCAGGAUGCGUCGAGUGAAAUCAACGAACGGAAAAUCACCCCCUUAAUCGCAUGGUGAGGUGACAAUGAACUUGGGUUACGAUUUAGAUGUUUCAAAAAAACAUUAAAUUUAUUUUAUUUAAAAAAACAGUUUACAACUAGAAAAUUAUCAUUAGUUUAGAAAUCGGAAGCAUUCUUUUCUAUUUUAUUCAAUAUCGAUAAAAUCAUCAAACUAAAGACCACCCUAAAGCAAAAACAAUACCUAGCCGUGUAAGACGAGAGGAGCUUGUUUGUGCUCUCUCUAGUAUUAAAUUGGACGCUGUUCUGGAACUGGCCUCCAAUCAUCCGACGACCAUCCUGAACCUCUAUCCACUUCACCUUUCCGAGCAACAACGACGUAGAAAGACGACAGGAGACUAAGGUAGAACGUAGAGAGCCGCAAUCACGGGCUAACCUGUUGAGUGAGAAGACUGAAGACUAUCAUCACGAAGCGAACGAACGACCGACGGCGGUGUGUGUGCGUGUGCAACAGACAAAAUCCAAUGAAGCGAUGUAUCAUCAUCAAAAGAAAAGUGUCAUCGUUGUCAUCGUCGCGCAACAGGAAUGACAAUUUUGUGUCGGAUUUAGGGAAGAUCGAAAAUAAAAAUAAAA
Molecule: long non-coding RNA, 1293 nt
Organism: Culex quinquefasciatus (southern house mosquito)
Lineage: Eukaryota; Metazoa; Arthropoda; Insecta; Diptera; Culicidae
Exons: 3
Source: RefSeq, a predicted model, not a curated record